GGCCAUAUGGUUGAGCAGGCUAAAGUGCUUGUUUAUGAAACAGGAGAUCCUGGGUUAGAGUCCCAGAGAGGCCU
This is a non-coding RNA of Alligator sinensis (Chinese alligator), 74 nucleotides long. The record is from Rfam. Lineage: Eukaryota; Metazoa; Chordata; Crocodylia; Alligatoridae.